Molecule: ribosomal RNA, 465 nt
Filed under: uncultured bacterium
Lineage: Bacteria
Description: bacterial SSU rRNA
Rfam family: Bacterial small subunit ribosomal RNA
Source: RNAcentral
AAUCAACGCUGGCGGCGUGCCUAACACAUGCAAGUCGAACGCGAAAGUGGAGCAAUCCAUGAGUAGAGUGGCAAACGGGUGAGUAACACGUGGGUGACCUGCCCCAGACUCUGGGAUAACAGUUGGAAACAGCUGCUAAUACCGGAUACGAGACGGAGAGGCAUCUCUACCGUCUGGAAAGUUUUUCGGUCUGGGAUGGACUCGCGGCCUAUCAGCUUGUUGGUGAGGUAAUGGCUCACCAAGGCGACGACGGGUAGCCGGCCUGAGAGGGCGACCGGCCACACUGGGACUGAGACACGGCCCAGACUCCUACGGGAGGCAGCAGUGGGGAAUAUUGCACAAUGGGCGAAAGCCUGAUGCAGCGACGCCGCGUGAGGGAUGACGGCCUUCGGGUUGUAAACCUCUUUCAGCAGGGAAGAAGCGAAAGUGACGGUACCUGCAGAAGAAGCACCGGCUAACUACGUG